This 1514-nucleotide ribosomal RNA is filed under the name Drosophila yakuba. Its description in RNAcentral is "bacterial SSU rRNA". The stretch from base 1 to 874 matches the Rfam family "Eukaryotic small subunit ribosomal RNA", at positions 293 to 1116 of the family's 1831-position model. The record is from RNAcentral. Lineage: Eukaryota; Metazoa; Arthropoda; Insecta; Diptera; Drosophilidae.
UGUGGUGGAUUCGUCUGCCCUAUCAACUUUUGAUGGUAGUAUCUAGGACUACCAUGGUUGCAACGGGUAACGGGGAAUCAGGGUUCGAUUCCGGAGAGGGAGCCUGAGAAACGGCUACCACAUCUAAGGAAGGCAGCAGGCGCGUAAAUUACCCACUCCCAGCUCGGGGAGGUAGUGAGGAAAAAUAACAAUACAGGACUCAUAUCCGAGGCCCUGUAAUUGGAAUGAGUACACUUUAAAUCCUUUAACAAGGACCAAUUGGAGGGCAAGUCUGGUGCCAGCAGCCGCGGUAAUUCCAGCUCCAAUAGCGUAUAUUAAAGUUGUUGCGGUUAAAACGUUCGUAGUUGAACUUGUGCUUCAUACGGGUAGUACAACUUACAAUUGUGGUUAGUACUAUACCUUUAUGUAUGUAAGCGUAUUACCGGUGGAGUUCUUACAUGUGAUUAAAUACUUGUAUUUUUUCAUAUGUUCCUCCUAUUUAAAAACCUGCAUUAGUGCUCUUAAACGAGUGUUAUUGUGGGCCGGUACUAUUACUUUGAACAAAUUAGAGUGCUUAAAGCAGGCUUCAAAUGCCGGAAUAUUCUGUGCAUGGGAUAAUAAAAUAAGACCUCUGUUCUGCUUUCAUUGGUUUUCAGAUCAAGAGGUAAUGAUUAAUAGAAGCAGUUUGAAGGCAUUAGUAUUAUGACGCGAGAGGUGAAAUUCUUGGAGCGUCGUAAGACUAACUUAAGCGAAAGCAUUUGCCAAAGAUGUUUUCAUUAAUCAAGAACGAAAGUUAGAGGUUCGAAGGCGAUCAGAUACCGCCCUAGUUCUAACCAUAAACGAUGAUCGUAGCCCCUUAAAUGGAUAUACGACCUGUUGGUGAAGUGCGUCUCCGAUAUGAGUAUAAUAUCUAUUGCAUUUGUUAGCAUGAAGUGUUCCACUUCGAGCCUGUGUCUGACCAGGCCGUUGGCAUUCCAGAAGGCUAUGUGCAGGCCUACUUGCUGCAGACCUGGGACAGGAUGGCGCUAACCAUUGCCGUCAGUUGAGUGAACAUCUUGUCCAUCAUUUUCUCUAGCAGUUUCUCCAUUCUGAACAUGAAGACUGCCGCUUGGUGUUCCUUCUUGGGGGACUCUGGCGUGGGCUGCUGUUGGUGCGGUUGCAGUGGCCGCACAUACCCUUUGGCUAUGUCUCCAUAGCUUGUCACUUUGGUGUCGAACAACGGAACAACGGAUGGGAUUGUGUUUGUCGAGGGCCGUGCCACUGGGCUGGGCGGGGUGCCUUUGGAGCGAUGUUUGCCUUAGCCUUCUUGUAGGCCGGGCAUCCUCUAUAUGAAGCCGGGUGAGCUCCCUGGCAGUGUGCGCAGCAUGCCGGCUCUUCCUUCUUCUUACCACACACAGCGGAGAUAUGGUCUUCCCCGCAUUUGACGCAGCGCGCAUCCAAUCGGCAAUACCUCUGGCUGUGCCCAUAGCCUUGGCACCUAAAACACUGAGGUAUGUCAUCGAAUUUCCGUGGGGGUUCCACUGUCACGACGGACC